RNAcentral lists this ribosomal RNA (746 nucleotides) under uncultured bacterium. RNAcentral describes it as "bacterial SSU rRNA". It matches the Rfam family "Bacterial small subunit ribosomal RNA", at positions 33 to 773 of the family's 1533-position model. The record is from RNAcentral.
ACGCUGGCGGCAUGCCUUACACAUGCAAGUCGAACGGCAGCACGGGAGCAAUCCUGGUGGCGAGUGGCGAACGGGUGAGUAAUACAUCGGAACGUGCCCAAUCGUGGGGGAUAACGCAGCGAAAGCUGUGCUAAUACCGCAUACGAUCUACGGAUGAAAGCAGGGGACCGCAAGGCCUUGCGCGAAUGGAGCGGCCGAUGGCAGAUUAGGUAGUUGGUGGGGUAAAGGCUCACCAAGCCAACGAUCUGUAGCUGGUCUGAGAGGACGACCCAGCCACACUGGGACUGAGACACGGCCCAGACUCCUACGGGAGGCAGCAGUGGGGAAUUUUGGACAAUGGGCGAAAGCCUGAUCCAGCAAUGCCGCGUGCAGGAUGAAGGCCUUCGGGUUGUAAACUGCUUUUGUACGGAACGAAACGGUCUUUUCUAAUACAGAAGGCUAAUGACGGUACCGUAAGAAUAAGCACCGGCUAACUACGUGCCAGCAGCCGCGGUAAUACGUAGGGUGCAAGCGUUAAUCGGAAUUACUGGGCGUAAAGCGUGCGCAGGCGGUUAUGUAAGACAGUUGUGAAAUCCCCGGGCUCAACCUGGGAAUUGCAUCUGUGACUGCAUAGCUAGAGUACGGUAGAGGGGGAUGGAAUUCCGCGUGUAGCAGUGAAAUGCGUAGAUAUGCGGAGGAACACCGAUGGCGAAGGCAAUCCCCUGGACCUGUACUGACGCUCAUGCACGAAAGCGUGGGGAGCAAAC